ACGCUGGCGGCGUGGAUUAGGCAUGCAAGUCGAACGGUAGGAUCCUUUCGGGGAUCUGAGAGUGGCGAACGGGUGAGUAACACGUAGGUGAUCUACCCUCAAGACGGGGACAACCCAGGGAAACUUGGGCUAAUACCCGGGAUGUGAGCUAUCGCGAGAUAGUUUGAAAGGUGGCUUCGGCUGCCGCUUGAGGAUGAGCCUGCGUCCUAUUAGCUAGUUGGUGAGGUAACGGCUCACCGAGGCAGUGAUAGGUAGGCGGCCUUAACGGGUGGUCGCCCACACUGGGAUUGAGAUACGGCCCAGACUCCUACGGGAGGCAGCAGUCGAGAAUAGUCUACAAUGGUCGGAAGACUGAUAGUGCGACGCCGCGUGAACGAUGAAUCCCUUCGGGGUGUAAAGUUCUUUUAUAUGUGAGCAGUGCUUCUUAUAUUAACAGUAUGGGGAGAGAGAUAUUAGCAUAUGAAUAAGCAACGGCUAACUCCGUG
This 485-nucleotide ribosomal RNA is filed under the name uncultured bacterium. RNAcentral describes it as "bacterial SSU rRNA". It matches the Rfam family "Bacterial small subunit ribosomal RNA", at positions 33 to 507 of the family's 1533-position model. The record is from RNAcentral.